CUUCACAUCCCGAUCCCCUCCAUGGAAGAAUCCCCUAUUUCAACUUACACGUCUCCGUAUUCAUCCACUUCCUUCCAACCGAACUAGCUUUCCAUCAACCACAUCCAAGAUCCCACAGUUCAGCUCUCAUCCCGCUUGUGAUCCCCUGCAUCUCGGAUUACAUCCCCUACGGAACCAAGUCCCAAUCCCAUCUUAUCCGAGAUCCUUUCAAACG
This 214-nucleotide long non-coding RNA is filed under the name Phoenix dactylifera (date palm). Its description in RNAcentral is "long non-coding RNA (PDAC_LNC010215)". Lineage: Eukaryota; Viridiplantae; Streptophyta; Magnoliopsida; Arecales; Arecaceae. The record is from RNAcentral.